UUGUACAGUUAAGGAAUUUAGUUAGGUUCCGUGUAGUUACCCGAGGUUCAUUUUGAAUCGUUUGUGAAUGUUUUUAUUUUGGUCUUGGUGGUGUUUCAGCAAGAAGAAUCUGAAGUUGGUUUGCCUGGAGGAAACGGUCAGCUCUUGACACUAGGGCUUGGAUUGUUAGCCACAGCAUUGACUGCUGCUUAUGUAACACGACUAGCAAAGGAUGCUGUAAAAGAUAUCGAUUAGGUGACGGGUUCUGUCUGCCCAUGAAGUCUGCACAAUGUAUUUGAAACUUCAAAAA
Molecule: long non-coding RNA, 289 nt
Organism: Malus domestica (apple)
Lineage: Eukaryota; Viridiplantae; Streptophyta; Magnoliopsida; Rosales; Rosaceae
Source: RefSeq, a predicted model, not a curated record